Molecule: ribosomal RNA, 462 nt
Filed under: uncultured bacterium
Lineage: Bacteria
Description: partial 16S ribosomal RNA
Rfam family: Bacterial small subunit ribosomal RNA
Source: RNAcentral
GACGAACGCUGGCGGCGUGCUUAACACAUGCAAGUCGAGCGGAAAGGCCCUUCGGGGUACUCGAGCGGCGAACGGGUGAGUAACACGUGAGUAACCUGCCCCAGACUUUGGGAUAACCCUCGGAAACGGGGGCUAAUACCGGAUACGACACAGCUUCGCAUGGGGUCUGUGUGGAAAGUUUUUCGGUUUGGGAUGGGCUCGCGGCCUAUCAGCUUGUUGGUGGGGUGAUGGCCUACCAAGGCGACGACGGGUAGCCGGCCUGAGAGGGCGACCGGCCACACUGGGACUGAGACACGGCCCAGACUCCUACGGGAGGCAGCAGUGGGGAAUAUUGCACAAUGGGCGGAAGCCUGAUGCAGCGACGCCGCGUGAGGGAUGACGGCCUUCGGGUUGCAAACCUCUUUCAGCAGGGACGAAGCGUAAGUGACGGUACCUGCAGAAGAAGCGCCGGCCAACUACGUG